AAGCAGAAAGUUUACCAAGUCACAUGACCAGGGGUGGGAUAUACAUGCAGACACACAUAGGUAAGAAGACUACUGCCGGAGAAUAAUCACUCAUUAACAACACACAAUAUGCAAAAUAAACUCCCCUUUUGCAUAUUUUGGUACGGGUGAGGUAACUGCUCCAGAAAGCUACCUUUUCAUUGGCUGCUCCAGAUAGCUACCUUUUCAUUGGCAAGAUUAGUAAACUUAGGCAUGACAUGCCAACAACAAAAUUCUGACCUACAUGCAUAACUGACCAAAUUAUUAAAGACAAUAAUUGUAAUUUUGAAUUCCAUAAAGUGAGCAUGGAAGAGGUGAAAAACAACAAUGGAAAGCCAUCUGGGUCUGACAACUUCGAUGGAAAAUUACUGAGGAUGAUAACGGACUAUAUUACCACCUCUCAUCUACGCCUACAGACCUUGAAGGAAGUAAGUCAUUCCACUACCCAAGGAUAGCAAAUCACCCUUUACUGGCUCAAACAGCUGACGAAUCAGCACGUUACCAACCCUUACUAAACUUUUGGGAAAAAAUGGUGUUGGACCAGAUUCAAUGCUAUUUCACAAUAAACAAAUUAACAAUAUUUUCAGCAUGCUUAUAGGGAAGAGCACUUAACAUGUAUGGCACUUACACAAAAGACUGAUGAUUGGCUGAAGGAAAUUGAUAAGUGGAUUGUGCGAGCUGUUUAGUUUGAUUUCAGUGAAGCUUUUGACAUGGAUCAUAAUCUGCUGCUGGAAAAAUGUGUAUUAUGGCUUUACAUCUGCUGCUAUAUCUUGUUACCCAUCUAACAGAACAGACGGUGUUCUUUAAUGGAAGCCUCUCCAACAUAAUCUAGGUAGAGUCAGGCAUUCCCCAGGGCACAUCCUUUAUAUCCACGCAAACUUGGUGCAAAUCAAUGCCCACGAGAAACCUGGCAACAUUCAAAGCCACACAUAGUUUGGUUGUUCCCUUGUGAGAAGUAAAGGCACGCACAAGAAUGCAAGAGAGAAUCCCCACAAAAAAAAAAAAAACAUUGCCAUCAAUACCUUGCAUUUUCCCAAAUAAAACAGAUAUAUAAUAAAGGGGGUCAAUGUAAAUAGUAUGUGUAGCCAUUUCAUUAACUGUUCAAUAAGAUGGUCCGAAAUAUAAAAUUAAAAAACUAAAAGCAUUGUAUUUGGGACAAAUCAUUCACUAAACCUCAACUACGUUUUGUAAUGAAUAAUGUGGAAAUUCAGCAAGUUGAAGGAGACUAAACGGCUUGGUGCAACCCUGGAUUGUAAAACUGUCCUGGUCAAAACAUAUUGAUGCAACAGUAGCUAAAAUGGGGAGAAGUCUGUCCAUAAUAAAGUGCUUCUCUGCUUUCUUGACAUCACUAUCAACCAAAGUCCUACAUACCCUAGUUGUUGCACCUGGACUACUGCCCAGUCACAUGAUCAAGUGCCACUAAGACGGACAUAGGCAAAUUACAGUUGGCCAGAACAGAGCAGCAAAGAACUCUAUUUCAUAUCAAGUAACUCAUGAAUAAAAAAAUAAAAGCUAAUAAAAAAAUGCAAGCAAUAAAAUCUGAUUUUUUUUUUUAAACUACACAGUGCAGACUGUGAAGACACACUCGUACAUUGUAAUAUUGCUGUAUUAUGGAUUUGGUACUUUAGAUAUGUUGUGGUAUUGUACUGUGUAAUAAAUAACGUGUUGUGUGAUCUGUUUUAUUUUGUAUGUAAUUGCCUAAUGGGGAUCCGUAAUAAAAUACACAUAAAAAAGAAGUUAAACCGUACCUUCGGGCACGAUACAGGUAAGGUACAGAAAGAUACAGGUAAGGUACGGAAAGAUACAGGUAAGGUACGGAAAGAUACAGGUAAGGUACGGAAAGAUACAGGUAAGGUACAGGUAAGGUGCGGAAAGAUACAGGUAAGGUACGAAAAGAUACAGGUAAGGUACAGGUAAGGUGCGGAAAGAUACAGGUAAGGUACGGAAAGAUACAGGUAAGGUACGGAAAGAUACAGGUAAGGUACGGAAAGAUACAGGUAAGGUACGGAAAGAUACAGGUAAGGUACGGAAAGAUACAGGUAAGGUACGGAAAGAUACAGGUAAGGUACGGAAAGAUACAGGUAAGGUACGGAAAGAUACAGGUAAGGUACAGGUAAGGUGCGGAAAGAUACAGGUAAGGUACAGGUAAGGUACGGAAAGAUACAAGUAUGGUACAGAAAGGUACAGGUGGGGUACAGGUAAGGUACGGAAAGGUACAGGUGGGGUACAGGUAAGGUACGGAAAGGUACAGGUGGGGUGAAGGUAAGUUACAGAAAGAUACAGGUAAGGUACAGGUAAGGUACGGAAAGAUACAGGUAUGGUACAGGUAAGGUACGGAAAGAUACAGGUAAGGUACAGGUAAGGUACGGAAAGAUACAGGUACGGUACAGGUAAGGUACGGAAAGAUACAGGUAUGGUACAGGUGGGGUACAGGUAAGGUACGGAAAGGUACAGGUGGGGUGAAGGUAAGGUAACGUAAGAUACAUGUAAGUGGUUGUGAUGAUUCAAUGUUUUUAAAGUAUUUAACUGUAUAAAGCUAAAAGGUUCAUUUUCACACUAUGGCCAAAGUUUUUCUUUCCUAACAGGCUGUGGCUACCGUCUGUCACUCAUUAGGGGUAACCUAGUCAGUUGCACAACUGAAAGCAUUCAACUGAAAUGUGUCUUCAGCAUUUAACCCAACCCCUCAAACAGAGAGGGAACAGUUUGUUGGGGGUUAAUUGCCUUACCGUGCUCCAC
This is a long non-coding RNA of Oncorhynchus keta (chum salmon), 2754 nucleotides long. RefSeq lists it as uncharacterized. The record is from RefSeq and is a predicted model, not a curated record. Lineage: Eukaryota; Metazoa; Chordata; Actinopteri; Salmoniformes; Salmonidae. The transcript has 3 exons.